This 253-nucleotide ribosomal RNA is filed under the name uncultured bacterium. RNAcentral describes it as "partial 16S ribosomal RNA". It matches the Rfam family "Bacterial small subunit ribosomal RNA", at positions 524 to 776 of the family's 1533-position model. The record is from RNAcentral.
UACGUAGGGGGCAAGCGUUGUCCGGAUUUAUUGGGCGUAAAGCGCGUGUAGGCGGUUUGGUAGGUCCGUUGUGAAAACUCGAGGCUCAACCUCGAGACGCCGGCGGAAACCAUCAGGCUAGAGUCCGGAAGAGGAGAGUGGAAUUCCUGGUGUAGCGGUGAAAUGCGUAGAUAUCAUUUGGAACGCCAAUGGUGAAAACAACUCGCUGGGGAAGUGCUGACGCUGAGACACGAAAGCCAGGGGAGCGAACGGG